GGCCCGCUAGCUCAGUUGGAUAGAGCAACUGCCCUCUAAGCAGUAGGUCUCAGGUUCGAAUCCUGAGCGGGUCA
Molecule: transfer RNA, 74 nt
Filed under: Bacteroidota bacterium
Lineage: Bacteria; Pseudomonadati; Bacteroidota
Description: Bacteroidetes bacterium (groundwater metagenome) tRNA-Arg
Rfam family: tRNA
About the family: Transfer RNA (tRNA) molecules are approximately 80 nucleotides in length. Their secondary structure includes four short double-helical elements and three loops (D, anti-codon, and T loops).
Source: RNAcentral